This 273-nucleotide ribosomal RNA is filed under the name uncultured prokaryote. RNAcentral describes it as "partial 16S ribosomal RNA". It matches the Rfam family "Bacterial small subunit ribosomal RNA", at positions 524 to 796 of the family's 1533-position model. The record is from RNAcentral.
UACGUAGGGUGCGAGCGUUAAUCGGAAUUACUGGGCGUAAAGCGUGCGCAGGCGGUUUUGUAAGCCAGUCGUGAAAUCCCCGGGCUUAACCUGGGAAUGGCGAUUGGGACUGCAAGGCUUGAGUAUGGCAGAGGAGACUGGAAUUCCUGGUGUAGCAGUGAAAUGCGUAGAUAUCAGGAGGAAUACCGAUGGCGAAGGCAGGUCUCUGGGCUGAUACUGACGCUCAUGCACGAAAGCGUGGGGAGCAAACAGGAUUAGAAACCCUAGUAGUCC